AAUCAACGCUGGCGGCGUGCCUAACACAUGCAAGUCGAACGAGAAAGUGGAGCAAUCCACAAGUAAAGUGGCGCACGGGUGAGUAACACGUGACUAACCUACCCUUGAGUGGGGGAUAACCUAGGGAAACCUGGGCUAAUACCGCAUAAUACCUAUGGGUCAAAGGAGCAAUUCGCUUUUGGAGGGGGUCGCGGCAGAUUAGUUAGUUGGCAGGGUAAUGGCCUACCAAGACGAUGANCUGUAUCCGGCCUGAGAGGGCGCACGGACACACUGGAACUGAAACACGGUCCAGACUCCUACGGGAGGCAGCAGUGGGGAAUUUUGCGCAAUGGGGGAAACCCUGACGCAGCAACGCCGCGUGGAGGAUGAAGACCCUUGGGUCGUAAACUCCUUUCGAUCGGGACGAUAAUGACGGUACCGGAAGAAGAAGCCCCGGCUAAC
Molecule: ribosomal RNA, 441 nt
Filed under: uncultured bacterium
Lineage: Bacteria
Description: bacterial SSU rRNA
Rfam family: Bacterial small subunit ribosomal RNA
Source: RNAcentral